UCACGCACGCGGUGCACAGAAUUCCUUCCCAUCUAACCUUCCCUCCGUUUGCCAUUGCCACGGUCGCGGGCAUUGCUGCAAGACGCGGCCAUACUGGAUUUUUGAAAUUCGAAUUUCGAAUUCGAUGGUGUGUCGGUUUUGUGUUGUGAUUUUGAAUUUGGAAUUAUGGUGUGCAAAACUGCGCCGAUUGGGAGUCCAACGCACAGAGUGAACGAACAAGAUGGGCGGACACAAGAGGUCGCUGACUAUGAAACUGCGCUGGAUUCAGCUGGUUACGGCCGAUUCAGCCGCGCAGCGCU
Molecule: long non-coding RNA, 299 nt
Organism: Leguminivora glycinivorella
Lineage: Eukaryota; Metazoa; Arthropoda; Insecta; Lepidoptera; Tortricidae
Exons: 3
Source: RefSeq, a predicted model, not a curated record